CUCUUCAUUCAGAACAUUCUCUCCAUAACGUCAAGUUUUCUCUCCAUCCUCUAGUUUCAAGUCUCUGCGUCUUCAAGCAAAGAGAAGAAGAGAAGAAGAAGCCAUGAAGCCUUCUAGCCGCCAUCAUCCACCUUGUGUCGUGAAGCUUUGGAGCCUUGCUUUCAAGAUCCAAGACCAACGUCUCAAGCUUUCCACUAUUCAUCCUUCAUGAUCGAGCGGCGGUGGUGGAUUGCCUGCGUGUGUAUGGGGAGUGUUUGCAAAUAGAUGUGAGGACUGGAUUUGGGCCAGGAUGCUGUUUGGGCCUAAGGCUACUCUCAUUUAGGCCUUGUGGGCUGUUAUGGUUUUAGAUAAUUAUAGAUUGUUUAUUUCUAACAAUGGCC
RNAcentral lists this long non-coding RNA (380 nucleotides) under Rosa chinensis. RNAcentral describes it as "sRNA RchiOBHm_Chr4g0407201". The record is from RNAcentral. Lineage: Eukaryota; Viridiplantae; Streptophyta; Magnoliopsida; Rosales; Rosaceae.